This is a microRNA precursor of Chlorocebus sabaeus (green monkey), 56 nucleotides long. The record is from Ensembl. NCBI's taxonomy places the organism in Eukaryota, Metazoa, Chordata, Mammalia, Primates, Cercopithecidae.
UUGGGUGACAUUUGUAGAUGUCUCUGUAUCUUGACAUUUACACGUGUCGCUCGGGA